Molecule: small nuclear RNA, 199 nt
Organism: Pristis pectinata (smalltooth sawfish)
Lineage: Eukaryota; Metazoa; Chordata; Chondrichthyes; Rhinopristiformes; Pristidae
Product: U2 spliceosomal RNA
Exons: 1
Source: RefSeq, a predicted model, not a curated record
ACAUUUUUUUAUGAAUAAAGUUUAUUUUCUUAAAUAAAGAAAAUCUGUUCUUAUCAGUUCAAUAUCUGACAUAUGCCUUAUCAAGGAACCAUGUAUUAAAUGGAUUUUUGGAACAGAGUGAUGGAAUAUGGGCUUGCUCCAUCCACUUCACUCCACAAGUUCACCCAGUAUUGCAGUGCCUCUAGGAAUAGCACUCUUC